UACGUAGGGUGCGAGCGUUGUCCGGAAUUAUUGGGCGUAAAGAGCUCGUAGGCGGCUUGUCGCGUCGGAUGUGAAAGCCCGGGGCUUAACUCCGGGUCUGCAUUCGAUACGGGCAGGCUAGAGUUCGGUAGGGGAGAUCGGAAUUCCUGGUGUAGCGGUGAAAUGCGCAGAUAUCAGGAGGAACACCGGUGGCGAAGGCGGCUUUCUGGACAGAUACCGACGCUGAGGCACGAAAGCUAGGGGAGCAAACAGG
This 253-nucleotide ribosomal RNA is filed under the name uncultured bacterium. RNAcentral describes it as "partial 16S ribosomal RNA". It matches the Rfam family "Bacterial small subunit ribosomal RNA", at positions 524 to 776 of the family's 1533-position model. The record is from RNAcentral.